GUGAACGCUGGCGGUAGGCCUAACCCAUGCACGUCGAACGGCAGCACCGUAAGAGCUUGCUCUUACGGGUGGCGAGUGGCGGACGGGUGAGGAAUACAUCGGAAUCUACUUUUUCGUGGGGGAUAACGUAGGGAAACUUACGCUAAUACCGCAUACGACCUACGGGUGAAAGCAGGGGAUCUUCGGACCUUGCGCGAUUGAAUGAGCCGAUGUCGGAUUAGCUAGUUGGCGGGGUGAAGGCCCACCAAGGCGACGAUCCGUAGCUGGUCUGAGAGGAUGAUCAGCCACACUGGAACUGAGACACGGUCCAGACUCCUACGGGAGGCAGCAGUGGGGAAUAUUGGACAAUGGGCGCAAGCCUGAUCCAGCCAUACCGCGUGGGUGAAGAAGGCCUUCGGGUUGUAAAGCCCCUUUGUUGGGAAAGAAAAGCAGCAGGUUAAUACCCCGCUGUUCUGACGGUACCCAAAGAAUAAGCACCGGCUAACUUCGUG
RNAcentral lists this ribosomal RNA (491 nucleotides) under uncultured bacterium. RNAcentral's name for it is "partial 16S ribosomal RNA". It matches the Rfam family "Bacterial small subunit ribosomal RNA", at positions 29 to 507 of the family's 1533-position model. The record is from RNAcentral.